CCUACGGGUGGCAGCAGUGGGGAAUAUUGCGCAAUGGGCGAAAGCCUGACGCAGCGAAGCCGCGUGAGGGAUGAAGGUCUUCGGAUCGUAAACCUCUGUCAGCAGGGAAGAACGGUCACUGUGCUAAUCAGCAGUGCAUUGACGGUACCUGCAAAGGCAGCACCGGCUAACUCCGUGCCAGCAGCCGCGGUAAUACGGCGGGUGCGAGCGUUAAUCGGAAUUACUGGGCGUAAAGCGCUCGUAGGCGGUAUGUCAAGUCACGGGUGAAAUCCCCGCGCUCAACGUGGGAACUGCCUUUGAAACGGGCAAACUGGAGUGUGUGAGAUGAUAGUGGAAUUCCAGGUGUAGGAGUGAAAUCCGUAGAUAUCUGGAGGAACAUCAGUGGCGAAGGCGACUAUCUGGCACAUAACUGACGCUGAGGAGCGAAAGCGUGGGUAGCAAACAGGAUUAGAUACCCUGGUAGUC
RNAcentral lists this ribosomal RNA (465 nucleotides) under uncultured bacterium. RNAcentral describes it as "partial 16S ribosomal RNA". It matches the Rfam family "Bacterial small subunit ribosomal RNA", at positions 338 to 795 of the family's 1533-position model. The record is from RNAcentral.